Molecule: ribosomal RNA, 371 nt
Filed under: uncultured organism
Description: partial 16S ribosomal RNA
Rfam family: Bacterial small subunit ribosomal RNA
Source: RNAcentral
GUAGGGAGCAAGCGUUGUUCGGAAUUAUUGGGCGUAAAGAGCGCGUAGGCGGCCAGGUAAGUCUGAUGUGAAAUCCCACAGCUCAACUGUGGAACUGCAUUGGAAACUGCUUGGCUAGAGUGCGGGAGAGGAGAGUGUAAUUCCCAGUGUAGAGGUGAAAUUCGUAGAUAUUGGGAGGAACACCAGUGGCGAAGGCGGCUCUCUGGACCGCAACUGACGCUGAGGCGCGAAAGCUAGGGGAGCGAACGGGAUUAGAUACCCCGGUAGUCCUAGCCGUAAACGAUGGGCACUAGGUGUGGGAGGUAUCGACCCCUUCUGUGCCGUAGCUAACGCAUUAAGUGCCCCCGCCUGGGAGUACGGUCGCAAGACUA